UGGUAUUUUCUGGCGUCCCUGCUUGUCACCGGCGCCAUUUUCCGCAAUCACGUUUUUUCAAUCGCGCGUUGUGUAACUAAUAGCCCCCAUAAAUGGCUCAAAGCAAGUUGAACGACCUGGCCGGCAAGUUCGGCAAAGGGGGCCCGCCCGGCCUGGGGCUCGGACUCAAACUUCUGGCCGUUGGUGGCGCCGCAGCUUACGGUAUCUCGCAAGCCAUGUACACCGUCGAAGGGGGCCACCGGGCCAUCAUGUUCAACCGCAUUGGGGGCGUCCAGAAGGACAUUUACACUGAGGGGCUGCAUUUCCGCGUGCCGUGGUUCCAGUACCCCAUCAUUUACGACAUUCGGUCAAGGCCGCGUAAGAUCUCCUCGCCAACGGGGUCGAAAGACUUGCAGAUGGUGAAUAUUUCGCUGAGGGUGCUCUCAAGGCCGAAUGCCAGCCAACUGCCGAUUGUUUAUAGACAGUUGGGGCUGGAUUAUGAUGAGAAGGUUUUGCCUUCGAUUUGCAACGAGGUGCUGAAGUCGGUUGUUGCGAAGUUUAACGCAGCUCAGUUGAUUACACAAAGACAGCAAGUUUCGCUUUUGGUUAGGAGGGAAUUGACUGAAAGGGCGCGCGAUUUUAAUAUAAUUCUGGACGAUGUUUCCAUUACUGAGCUUUCCUUCGGGAAGGAAUACACGGCUGCGGUUGAAGCCAAACAGGUGGCGCAACAGGAAGCCCAAAGGGCUGCGUUUAUUGUCGAGAAAGCCAAGCAGGAAAGGCAGCAAAAGAUUGUCCAAGCGGAGGGCGAAGCCGAAGCCGCAAAAAUGUUAGGUGAAGCAAUUUCCAAAAAUCCGGGCUAUUUGAAAUUGAGGAAAAUCCGCGCGGCUCAGAAUAUUUCACGAACCAUUGCCAACUCGCAAAAUAAAGUGUACCUCAGUGGUAACAGUCUAAUGUUGAAUAUCUCUGAUAAGGAGUUUGAUGACCAGUCUGAUAAGCUCAAACGUAAGGAUUGAGUCUAGGUUUAAGUUCGUAGUGAGUGAGUGAAAAACUUUUAUAAGAAUAUUUCUUUGUUACUAUUUGUAAAAAUAUUCCUAAGUCUCAAAUAAAUGCGUAAUGAAUAUGAUGACACGACGCGAAGUGCUGAUAAAAAUGUGCUCAGGACAGCACGGAAAAUGGCAACAAGGAUUGCUGGAUAAGGGCGGAAUUUUCACGCAUGUAGAUUUUAUAUUUUGGUUAUUGUUGCUUAAUAAACGUUUUUAACACCUUUAUUAAAA
Molecule: RNA transcript, 1253 nt
Organism: Tribolium castaneum (red flour beetle)
Lineage: Eukaryota; Metazoa; Arthropoda; Insecta; Coleoptera; Tenebrionidae
Gene: Phb2
Gene name: Prohibitin 2
Exons: 6
Source: RefSeq, a predicted model, not a curated record